UUGAGGAGUGGCUUCCGGAGCUAACGCGUAAAUCGACCGCUGGGGAGUACGGCCGCAAGGUUAAAACUCAAAUGAAUUGACGGGGGCCCGCACAAGCGGUGGAGCAUGUGGUUUAAUUCGAUGCAACGCGAAGAACCUUACCUACUCUUGACAUCCAGAGAAUUUAGCAGAGAUGCUUUAGUGCCUUCGGGAACUCUGAGACAGGUGCUGCAUGGCUGUCGUCAGCUCGUGUUGUGAAAUGUUGGGUUAAGUCCCGCAACGAGCGCAACCCUUAUCCUUUGUUGCCAGCGAUUCGGUCGGGAACUCAAAGGAGACUGCCGGUGAUAAACCGGAGGAAGGUGGGGAUGACGUCAAGUCAUCAUGGCCCUUACGAGUAGGGCUACACACGUGCUACAAUGGCGUAUACAAAGAGAAGCGACCUCGCGAGAGCAAGCGGAACUCAUAAAGUACGUCGUAGUCCGGAUUGGAGUCUGCAACUCGACUCCAUGAAGUCGGAAUCGCUAGUAAUCGUAGAUCAGAAUGCUACGGUGAAUACGUUCCCGGGCCUUGUACACACCGCCCGUCACACCAUGGGAGUGGGUUGCAAAAGAAGUAGGUAGCUUAACCUUCGGGAGGGCGCUUACCACUUUGUGAUUCAUGACUGGGGUGAAGUCGUAACAAGGUAACCA
This 668-nucleotide ribosomal RNA is filed under the name uncultured Providencia sp. RNAcentral's name for it is "bacterial SSU rRNA". It matches the Rfam family "Bacterial small subunit ribosomal RNA", at positions 832 to 1502 of the family's 1533-position model. Lineage: Bacteria; Pseudomonadati; Pseudomonadota; Gammaproteobacteria; Enterobacterales; Morganellaceae. The record is from RNAcentral.